This 566-nucleotide ribosomal RNA is filed under the name uncultured bacterium. Its description in RNAcentral is "bacterial SSU rRNA". It matches the Rfam family "Bacterial small subunit ribosomal RNA", at positions 62 to 629 of the family's 1533-position model. The record is from RNAcentral.
UCGAGCGAGAAGCUACCUAUGAUCCUUCGGGAGAUUAGACUAGUGGACAGCGGCGGACGGGUGAGUAACGCGUAAAUAACCUGCCAUACACACAAGGAUAGCCAUCGGAAACGGUGAUUAAUACUUGAUGAGGCUACAGAUUCGCAUGAAUCAGUAGUUAAAGAAUUUUGGUGUAUGAUGGAUUUGCGUUUGAUUAGCUAGUUGGUAAGGUAAUGGCUUACCAAGGCGAUGAUCAAUAGCCGGCCUGAGAGGGUGAACGGCCACACUGGAACUGAGACACGGUCCAGACUCCUACGGGAGGCAGCAGUGGGGAAUAUUGCACAAUGGAGGAAACUCUGAUGCAGCAACGCCGCGUGAACGAAGAAGGCUUUCGAGUCGUAAAGUUCUGUUAUAGGGGAAGAAGAAGUGACGGUACCCUAUGAGAAAGCCACGGCUAACUCCGUGCCAGCAGCCGCGGUAAGACGGAGGAUGCAAGUGUUAUCCGGAAUCACUGGGCGUAAAGCGUCUGUAGGUGGUUUAAUAAGUCAACUGUUAAAUCUUGAGGCUCAACCUCAAAAUCGCAGUCG